RNAcentral lists this ribosomal RNA (468 nucleotides) under uncultured bacterium. RNAcentral's name for it is "partial 16S ribosomal RNA". It matches the Rfam family "Bacterial small subunit ribosomal RNA", at positions 28 to 507 of the family's 1533-position model. The record is from RNAcentral.
GACGAACGCUGGCGGCGUGCUUAACACAUGCAAGUCGAACGGAAAGGCCCUGCUUUUGUGGGGUGCUCGAGUGGCGAACGGGUGAGUAACACGUGAGUAACCUGCCCUUGACUUUGGGAUAACUUCAGGAAACUGGGGCUAAUACCGGAUAGGAGCUCCUGCUGCAUGGUGGGGGUUGGAAAGUGUCGGCGGUUGGGGAUGGACUCGCGGCUUAUCAGCUUGUUGGUGGGGUAGUGGCUUACCAAGGCUUUGACGGGUAGCCGGCCUGGGAGGGUGACCGGCCACAUUGGGACUGGGAUACGGCCCAGACUCCUACGGGAGGCAGCAGUGGGGAAUAUUGCACAAUGGGCGGAAGCCUGAUGCAGCAACGCCGCGUGCGGGAUGACGGCCUUCGGGUUGUAAACCGCUUUCGCCUGUGACGAAGCGUGAGUGACGGUAAUGGGUAAAGAAGCACCGGCUAACUACGUG